CCUGUAUGAAGUCGGAAUUGCUAGUAAUCGCGGAUCAGCAUGCCGCGGUGAAUACGUUCCCGGGCCUUGUACACACCGCCCGUCACACCAUGAGAGCCGGGAACACCCGAAGUCCGUAGUCUAACCGUAAGGAGGGCGCGGCCGAAGGUGGGUUUGGUAAUUGGGGUGAAGUCGUAACAAGGUAAC
RNAcentral lists this ribosomal RNA (186 nucleotides) under uncultured bacterium. RNAcentral's name for it is "partial 16S ribosomal RNA". It matches the Rfam family "Bacterial small subunit ribosomal RNA", at positions 1315 to 1500 of the family's 1533-position model. The record is from RNAcentral.